Molecule: long non-coding RNA, 1693 nt
Organism: Folsomia candida
Lineage: Eukaryota; Metazoa; Arthropoda; Collembola; Entomobryomorpha; Isotomidae
Exons: 4
Source: RefSeq, a predicted model, not a curated record
CAAAGUAAAAUAAGUAAUAUCGGCAUAUGUAUGAAAGAAGAAUUUGGAUGACGCAUAUAUUUAAUUAUAUAUUAUUAUUGGGUUGUUGACUGUUGAGAGUCUCAACUUGAGAAUUUAUAUCUGGAAAUCAUUUCACCUUUUUUUGCAGUUGCACUUGGAAUUAUCUAGUAAUAAUUUAUACAAGACGAAGUUUGAUUGUAUAUUUAAUUGAGUGAUUUCAAUUUAUAAUCUCAAUUGAUUGAAAUUUAACAAAAACCGCAAUUAUUUAUUUUUAUCGCAAAUUACAUGCAUAAUAUUAACCUUUUUCACCCACCGAAAAAAUAUUACUCUCGAUUUUCGUAUGUAUACAAAUUUAUGUCAAAAUUAAUGGUUCAUUUCAUUACAUGUGACAACGUUCACUUUUAUAAAAAUACUUAAUCAAAACAGUCAACUGAAUAAGAAUUAAGUACUCAAACAAUCUCAUACAACAACAAAGUAUCUAUAAAAAUUCUCACGAUAUGACAUACAUGACAAGCUCAAGUAUAAGUGUCCUCAUAAAUAUUAAUCGUCUAGCUUGCGUCUGGCACAAUGCAAAUAGAGCAAUAUCUAAUCGAACUCAUUCUAGAUAAUCACCAACUAAGCAAAUAUUUACAUGAAUGCAUUUUUACCCUUUGUUUUUCAUUCGAAUUAUUAAUUUAACAUUGUUGUAUGCCAGCAAAUAUGUACCUUUGUAUUUACUACGUUCAACCCAUUAAUACCUAUCUGAAGCCGAAGCCCUACCUCAAAUAAUUUAAGGUGACAUAUUUGCACAGUAAAUCGAAAUCAUUAGUUUUUAGACAAAUUAGUUCAAUCAACACACAUGUAAUGUAACAUUGAAUUGAUUGAGUUAGUUACGAUAAUGUCAAAAAAAAACUUUGGCAAUCUGAUCAAAAAAGUGCCCUUUAAUAUCAUUCUAAUCACACGUUUCCAUCCCCCCAUUCGAUUUGGGUUGUUAUUCAUAGAUAACCUCAACACAAGUAAAGCAUUUGCAUUCUGAUCCUGCGUACCGUGCCAGUAAAGGAUUGAUUGAUUUGAUGGCGACUCCAGAUUACCUCACCUUCCUCCCCAGCGAUAAAAAGUUACAGAAUGUUAUACGCAGUGGACUUACAUAAAAAAUUGGGUGCAAGAAUGGGAUGAAUUGAUCCACUUAGUUAAUUUAUUUUGUCAGGAAUGAAUUGGUAAAAAUUAUUUGGAUUUUUGCAUACAUAAAUCUUACCAAGUACCAAGUAGCCAAAAAGGGUGACAAAUAUGGUGGGGACGUACAUAACUAUGUACAUACCACAGAAUUAUACUAGUCAAUCAUACAUACGUACGACUACCUUCAUUCAGGUGAUUUGAAACAUGUAAUUAGUCACGUAUUCAUAAUAUUUUUUAAAUAAAGAUGUCGCAUUGCUUAUCAUUUUGCAACAAUGUAUCGUUACGUUCAAUGUGUCUCGAUGUUGUCAAUUUUUAAGUUGAGGGUGAUUUUUUAGUCUAGUUAUGAUUUAGUGGAUUAGAAGAAAAGGGAUUUAUGUGUCAUGUUAGACGUACUUAUUGAUACAUCUUGUUUGCUUUCACUUCAUCCCAUGUAAGGUUUUUGUGUAAUUAUUAAACUUCUAGUUUUUUAAGGGAAUUGUGUAAACUGUACGAAUUACAUGUAAUAAUCAACCAAGAAAUAAAUAAUUAUUAGUAGACA